This 29-nucleotide non-coding RNA is filed under the name Homo sapiens (human). The record is from RNAcentral. Lineage: Eukaryota; Metazoa; Chordata; Mammalia; Primates; Hominidae.
UGCAUGUAACUAGUUGCCAGCAUUCUAAA